RNAcentral lists this ribosomal RNA (273 nucleotides) under uncultured bacterium. RNAcentral describes it as "partial 16S ribosomal RNA". It matches the Rfam family "Bacterial small subunit ribosomal RNA", at positions 523 to 796 of the family's 1533-position model. The record is from RNAcentral.
AGACGGAGGGUGCAAGCGUUAAUCGGAAUUACUGGGCGUAAAGCGCUCGUAGGCGGCCUGUUAAGUCGGAUGUGAAAGCCCCGGGCUCAACCUGGGAACUGCAUUCGAAACUGGCAGGCUAGAGUAUAGUAGAGGCAAGUGGAAUUCCGGGUGUAGCGGUGAAUGCGUAGAUAUCCGGAGGAACAUCAGUGGCGAAGGCGACUUGCUGGACUAAUACUGACGCUGAGGAGCGAAAGCGUGGGGAGCAAACGGGAUUAGAUACCCCGGUAGUCC